UUUUUGUUAGCUGAGGCGUAAAAAACUCAGGAGCAGCACAACUGAUAUUCACAUCCGUGAAGAAGGUCCGGGAGACUUUGAUGGCUUACACAGAAGCAUUUAUUGAAAAGUCAAUUGAGAAGAAUUUAGGAUUAAACAGUACGGUGUAGUGCCAA
Etheostoma spectabile (orangethroat darter) is the source of this 155-nucleotide long non-coding RNA. RefSeq lists it as uncharacterized. NCBI's taxonomy places the organism in Eukaryota, Metazoa, Chordata, Actinopteri, Perciformes, Percidae. The record is from RefSeq and is a predicted model, not a curated record. The transcript has 3 exons.